Molecule: ribosomal RNA, 253 nt
Filed under: uncultured bacterium
Lineage: Bacteria
Description: partial 16S ribosomal RNA
Rfam family: Archaeal small subunit ribosomal RNA
Source: RNAcentral
UACCAGCACCCCGAGUGGCCGGGACGUUUAUUGGGCCUAAAGCAUCCGUAGCCGGUUCUACAAGUCUUCCGUUAAAUCCACCUGCUUAACAGAUGGGCUGCGGAAGAUACUAUAGAGCUAGGAGGCGGGAGAGGCAAGCGGUACUUAGUGGGUAGGGGUAAAAUCCGUUGAUCCAUUGAAGACCACCAGUGGCGAAGGCGGCUUGCCAGAACGCACUCGACGGUGAGGGAUGAAAGCUGGGGGAGCAAACCGG